UGAGUCGGCCGGGUGGCCGCGGCGAGGGACGUUCCGGCGUCUCCGCGUCGAGGAAAGUCGGGACUCCAGAGGGCAGGGUGCUGGCGUGAGCCAGGUCGGGGCGACCUGACGGACAGUGCAACAGAGAGAGACCGCCGAUGGGCCGGGCGACCGGCCACAGGUGAGGGUGAAACGGUGCGGUAAGAGCGCACCAGCGUCCGGGGUGAUCCGGGCGGCUCGGCAAACCCCACCCGGAGCAAGGCCGAGCAGGAGGCACGGGCGGCCCGUCCGCCGCACCGGCAACGGUGCGACAACCUCCGGGUAGGCCGCACUAGAUGGAUGGCCACCCAUCGCCGCAAGGCGAGGACAGGAUCCCGCUUACAGGCCGACUCACCAU
RNAcentral lists this RNase P RNA (376 nucleotides) under Acidimicrobiia bacterium. Its description in RNAcentral is "RNase P RNA component class A". It matches the Rfam family "Bacterial RNase P class A". Rfam says of the family: Ribonuclease P (RNase P) is a ubiquitous endoribonuclease, found in archaea, bacteria and eukarya as well as chloroplasts and mitochondria. RNAcentral also lists the same sequence under 1 other name. Lineage: Bacteria; Bacillati; Actinomycetota; Acidimicrobiia. The record is from RNAcentral.